CUAUCGAAUCAUACCAGCACUAAAUGCACCGCGAUCCAUAAGAACUCCGAAGUCAAGCGUGCUUGGGCGAGAGUAGUACUAGGAUGGGUGGACCCCUGCUCAAGCGUGCUGGGCGAGC
This 118-nucleotide ribosomal RNA is filed under the name Ipomoea nil (Japanese morning glory). The record is from RNAcentral. Lineage: Eukaryota; Viridiplantae; Streptophyta; Magnoliopsida; Solanales; Convolvulaceae.